RNAcentral lists this long non-coding RNA (1213 nucleotides) under Monomorium pharaonis (pharaoh ant). RNAcentral describes it as "uncharacterized LOC118647696, transcript variant X2". The record is from RNAcentral. Lineage: Eukaryota; Metazoa; Arthropoda; Insecta; Hymenoptera; Formicidae.
GGCCAAUCACGCGGCGAACAGAGGGACGAAAUAACCGCCAUUCGCGACGUAUAGUCCCCUCGACCUGACUACGCGCGAGUAUGAUUCAGAUUUGUGCGAAACGUGUGCGAAAAGAUUGUACAGUUAUCGGGAUCCCUCUACCACGGGGAAGAGCACGGCCGACCCACAGAAUGCCAAUAGCGAUCUCUCUGCUCGUGUGCUCCAAUAUUCCAGAUUUUGAAUGAGAGAAAGGCGCAAGGAAAAAACUUGCCGUUGGUGCACGGCCGUGCUCCGGGGAAACAAAAUCCCACGCAGCAUCCAGGAAGUGGUGAGGGGUGACACCGGAUGCAUUUCAAUGAGGGGAGACGGGCGAACGGGUUCGCGUAAAACAAUUCGUUCUGCGUUUCGCAGAGAGACCACCGUCUCUCAUUCAUUGUCCAUACCGCAGGAGUGCAUUUCAGCGAGGUGUCUGGUUGCACAGAUCGCGCUUUGUAACCAACAAUAAAGUGAAAGCUCUACUAUCUAUACUUCCUGACGAUAUUGGUUGCCAGGGUAACACGACGGAAAUUGAGAGGACGAACAUUGACGCGCCAAGUUUCGCGAACGGAAAAACAGUCUCUCCGUUGCUGCGGCUAUGAAACUCGGCAUGCAACUAAUUCCAAGAGUUUAAACGUUAAUGCGGAGAGUAAUAGAUAGCAAGAGACGUUGGAAAAAGAACUGAUGUGAAAAAUCAAAGCGUAACAAUAGAAAGACCCGUCGAAUGAGACUGUCUACACUAGUGUAGAGCUCUACACAAGUAUGUCUCUUUAACAUCGUCUCACUGACCCGAGGGAAAAUUAAAAGGAAAGUAACUGCCGCUGAGGAACUACGAGAAUGUGGAAACACGCACGACGUUACUUUGCUACAGAGGAAAGUGUUGGAUGAAAAGAUGAUGGACACAGCUGACGUCGUCAGAAGGAAGAGAAAUAGUAAGAAACAUCGAGCAAAAGAAGUGAAAGAAAGCUGCGAGAAAUAAGCUUAUUCUCCGCGGCGACGUCAUCGAAGAGGUUCAAUUCAAACGAGAAGCGAGGAAUAAUAGGCUUUACAAGAUCUUUAAAUUUUAAAAGGAAGGUACCCGAACAGCUGACGCAUCUUCUAAGAUAUUCAGGUAUCUCUCCCAACAAAUUUGGAAUAUGAUGAAAAGAACAAAGUAAUUGAUAUCAGAAAGUAUCAGCUGCAAAAAUAAAAUUUUGAA